Molecule: transfer RNA, 73 nt
Filed under: Felis catus (domestic cat)
Lineage: Eukaryota; Metazoa; Chordata; Mammalia; Carnivora; Felidae
Also listed under: 2 other names
Rfam family: tRNA
About the family: Transfer RNA (tRNA) molecules are approximately 80 nucleotides in length. Their secondary structure includes four short double-helical elements and three loops (D, anti-codon, and T loops).
Source: Rfam by way of RNAcentral
ACCCGGCUGGCUCAGUCCAUAGAGCAUGUGACUCUUGAUCUCGGGGUCAUGAGUUCAAGCCCCAUUUUGGGUA